GACGAACGCUGGCGGCGUGCUUAACACAUGCAAGUCGAGCGGACAGGCCCUGCUUUUGUGGGGUGCUCGAGUGCCGCACGGGUGAGUAACACGUGAGUAUCCUGCCCUUGAAUUUGGGAUAACUUCAGGAAACUGGGGCUAUUACCGGAUAGAAGCUCCUGCUGCAUGGUGGGGGUUGGAAAGAUUCGGCGGUUGGGGAUGGACUCGCGGCUUAUCAGCUUGUUGGUCGGGUAGUGGCUUACCAAGUCUGUGACGGGUAGCCGGCCUGAGAGGGUGACCGGCGACAAGGCGCCUGAGAUACGGCGCAGACUCCUACGGGAGGCAGCAGGGGAGAAUAUUGCACAACGGGCGGAAGCGUGAGGCAGCAACGCCGCGUGCGGGAUGACGGCUUUUGGGUGGUAAACCGCUGUCGCCUUUGACGAAGCGUUAUUGACGGUAAUGGGUAAAGAAGCACCGGCUAACUACGUG
RNAcentral lists this ribosomal RNA (468 nucleotides) under uncultured bacterium. RNAcentral describes it as "partial 16S ribosomal RNA". It matches the Rfam family "Bacterial small subunit ribosomal RNA", at positions 28 to 507 of the family's 1533-position model. The record is from RNAcentral.